RNAcentral lists this ribosomal RNA (252 nucleotides) under uncultured bacterium. RNAcentral describes it as "partial 16S ribosomal RNA". It matches the Rfam family "Bacterial small subunit ribosomal RNA", at positions 524 to 776 of the family's 1533-position model. The record is from RNAcentral.
UACGUAGGUCCCGAGCGUUGUCCGGAUUUAUUGGGUUUAAAGGGUGCGUAGGCGGGCUGUUAAGUCAGCGGUAAAAGCCCGGGGCUCAACCCCGGCGAGCCGUUGAAACUGGCUGUCUUGAGAUGUCGAGAGGUAUGCGGAAUGCGCAGUGUAGCGGUGAAAUGCUUAGAUAUUGCGCAGAACUCCGAUUGCGAAGGCAGCAUACCGGCGGCGAUCUGACGCUGGGGCACGAAAGCGUGGGUAUCGAACAGG